CCGGCAAACGGGUGCGGAACACGUACGCAAUCUACCCAAAACUGGUGAAUAGCCCUCCGAAAGGAGGAUUAAUACACCGUAACUUAAUGGAGUGGCAUCACUUUAUUAAUAUAGCUCCGGCGGUUUUGGAUGGGCGUGCGCCUGAUUAGGUAGUUGGUAGGGUAACGGCCCACCAAGCCAACGAUCAGUAACUGGUGUGAGAGCACGACCAGUCACACGGGCACUGAGACACGGGCCCG
This 239-nucleotide ribosomal RNA is filed under the name uncultured bacterium. RNAcentral describes it as "partial 16S ribosomal RNA". It matches the Rfam family "Bacterial small subunit ribosomal RNA", at positions 95 to 334 of the family's 1533-position model. The record is from RNAcentral.